UACGGAGGGUGCAAGCGUUGCUCGGAAUUACUGGGCGUAAAGCGAACGCAGGCGGUUCAUUAAGUCGGGCGUGAAAGCCCCGGGCUCAACCUGGGAAUUGCACUCGAUACUGGUGAACUUGAGUCUGAGAGAGGGAAGCGGAAUUCCCGGUGUAGUGGUGAAAUGCGUAGAUAUCGGGAGGAACACCAGUGGCGAAGGCGGCUUUCUGGUCUGCUCUUGACGCUGAGGCGCGAAAGCUAGGGUAGCAAACGGU
RNAcentral lists this ribosomal RNA (253 nucleotides) under uncultured bacterium. Its description in RNAcentral is "partial 16S ribosomal RNA". It matches the Rfam family "Bacterial small subunit ribosomal RNA", at positions 524 to 776 of the family's 1533-position model. The record is from RNAcentral.